GCCUGGCUGGCUCAGUUGGAAAAGCAUGAGACUCUUGAUCUUGGGGUUGUGAGUUCAAGCCCCACGUUGGGUG
RNAcentral lists this transfer RNA (73 nucleotides) under Ailuropoda melanoleuca (giant panda). It matches the Rfam family "tRNA". Rfam says of the family: Transfer RNA (tRNA) molecules are approximately 80 nucleotides in length. Their secondary structure includes four short double-helical elements and three loops (D, anti-codon, and T loops). Further hydrogen bonds mediate the characteristic L-shaped molecular structure. tRNAs have two regions of fundamental functional importance: the anti-codon, which is responsible for specific mRNA codon recognition, and the 3' end, to which the tRNAs corresponding amino acid is attached (by aminoacyl-tRNA synthetases). tRNAs cope with the degeneracy of the genetic code in two manners: having more than one tRNA (with a specific anti-codon) for a particular amino acid; and 'wobble' base-pairing, i.e. permitting non-standard base-pairing at the 3rd anti-codon position. The record is from Rfam by way of RNAcentral. Lineage: Eukaryota; Metazoa; Chordata; Mammalia; Carnivora; Ursidae.